UACGAAGGGGGCUAACGUUGUUCGGAUUUACUGGGCGUAAAGCGCACGUAGGCGGGUCGUUAAGUCGGGGGUGAAAUCCUGGAGCUCAACUCCAGAACUGCCUUCGAUACUGGCGACCUAGAGUCCGGAAGAGGUGAGUGGAACUCCUAGUGUAGAGGUGGAAUUCGUAGAUAUUAGGAAGAACACCAGUGGCGAAGGCGGCUCACUGGUCCGGUACUGACGCUGAGGUGCGAAAGCGUGGGGAGCAAACAGG
Molecule: ribosomal RNA, 253 nt
Filed under: uncultured bacterium
Lineage: Bacteria
Description: partial 16S ribosomal RNA
Rfam family: Bacterial small subunit ribosomal RNA
Source: RNAcentral